This 708-nucleotide ribosomal RNA is filed under the name Streptomycetaceae bacterium. RNAcentral describes it as "bacterial SSU rRNA". It matches the Rfam family "Bacterial small subunit ribosomal RNA", at positions 88 to 810 of the family's 1533-position model. Lineage: Bacteria; Bacillati; Actinomycetota; Actinomycetes; Kitasatosporales; Streptomycetaceae. The record is from RNAcentral.
UGGAUUAGUGGCGAACGGGUGAGUAACACGUGAGCAAUCUGCCCUUCACUCUGGGACAAGCUCUGGAAACGGAAUCUAAUACCGGAUAACACUCCUGCCUGCAUGUGCAGCAGUUAAAAGCUCCGUCGGUGAAGGAUGAGCUCGCGGCCUAUCAGCUAGUUGGUGAGGUAAUGGCUUACCAAGGCGACGACGGGUAGCCGGCCUGAGAGGGCGACCGGCCACACUGGGACUGAGACACGGCCCAGACUCCUACGGGAGGCAGCAGUGGGGAAUAUUGCACAAUGGGCGAAAGCCUGAUGCAGCGACGCCGCGUGAGGGAUGACGGCCUUCGGGUUGUAAACCUCUUUCAGCAGGGAAGAAGCGAAAGUGACGGUACCUGCAGAAGAAGCGCCGGCUAACUACGUGCCAGCAGCCGCGGUAAUACGUAGGGCGCGAGCGUUGUCCGGAAUUAUUGGGCGUAAAGAGCUCGUAGGCGGCUUGUCACGUCGGAUGUGAAAGCCCGGGGCUUAACCCCGGGUCUGCAUUCGAUACGGGCUAGCUAGAGUGUGGUAGGGGAGAUCGGAAUUCCUGGUGUAGCGGUGAAAUGCGCAGAUAUCAGGAGGAACACCGGUGGCGAAGGCGGAUCUCUGGGCCAUUACUGACGCUGAGGAGCGAAAGCGUGGGGAGCGAACAGGAUUAGAUACCCUGGUAGUCCACGCCGUAAACGUU